AUGGGCAGAAGGGCACUUGAAGGACCAGACGGGCAGAAGAGGACUAUCAGGGCACUAGAAGGACCAGACGGGCACUAUCAGGGUACUAACACCAUUAUCACACUCCUCAAGCCAUUGGAUACCAUCUCUCACUCCUUCUCAGUUGAAAAAUGCAAUAACUUCCUAUCCUUCUUCAAUGAUAAAAUCAGCACAAUCCACAGCCAGUUGACCAUCGACCCCGCCCUACGUCCCAAACCGGAUCCCCCCCUAACCACCGGUCAAUCCUUCUCCACAUUUGCUACCAUCACCUCCUCUGAUCUUUCCUCCAUAGUCUCAACCAUGAAAUCAACAACCUGCAAUCUGGACCCGCUCCCCACCACACUUCUAAAGGCCUGUCUCCCCAUUCUCUCCACCCUCAUCACUAACACUGUAAACUCCUCUCUAUCCUCCGGCCAUGUCCCCUCCUCCCUAAAGCUUGCAUCAUUCACCCCCCUACUAAAGAAACCCGGCCUGGAUCCUGAUUCCCCUAACAACUACCGCCCCAUCUCCAAUCUACCUUUUCUGUCUAAAAUCCUGGAACGUGUUGUUGCCAAACAACUCAUCACCUACCUUGACACCAACGACCUCUUUGAACUCUUCCAAUCCGGUUUCCGCUCCAAACACAGUACAGAAACUGCCCUCCUCAAAUUGACCAAUGAACUUCUGCUAUCCUCUGACACUGGCUCCCUAAAUAUCCUCAUCCUCCUUGACCUCAGUGCUGCCUUUGACACGAUCAAUCACUCCAUUCUCCUCUCCCGUCUCCAAUCCACCCUUGGCAUCACUGGCACCGCCCUCUCCUGGCUCGGAUCCUAUCCCUCCGACAGAUAUCAAUUCAUCGCCAUCAACAACUGCUUGGUCCACUCCUCUUCAUUCUGUACAUGCUUCCUCUUGGUCAGAUCCUCCGUCACCAUGGACUCCGGUUCCAUUGUUACGCCGAUGACACACAGCUUUACCUCCCCUCCAAAACCAUCAGUCCUUCCAC
This 1000-nucleotide long non-coding RNA is filed under the name Gadus morhua (Atlantic cod). Its description in RNAcentral is "lncRNA (ENSGMOG00000036809.1)". Lineage: Eukaryota; Metazoa; Chordata; Actinopteri; Gadiformes; Gadidae. The record is from RNAcentral.